RNAcentral lists this transfer RNA (76 nucleotides) under Flavobacterium sp. RNAcentral's name for it is "tRNA-Asn". It matches the Rfam family "tRNA". Rfam says of the family: Transfer RNA (tRNA) molecules are approximately 80 nucleotides in length. Their secondary structure includes four short double-helical elements and three loops (D, anti-codon, and T loops). The record is from RNAcentral. Lineage: Bacteria; Pseudomonadati; Bacteroidota; Flavobacteriia; Flavobacteriales; Flavobacteriaceae.
UCUGAAAUAGCUCAGUUGGUAGAGCAGGUGACUGUUAAUCACCGGGUCGUAGGUUCGAACCCUACUUUCAGAGCCA